RNAcentral lists this long non-coding RNA (1074 nucleotides) under Gorilla gorilla gorilla (western lowland gorilla). RNAcentral's name for it is "lncRNA (ENSGGOG00000044609.1)". The record is from RNAcentral. Lineage: Eukaryota; Metazoa; Chordata; Mammalia; Primates; Hominidae.
CACACACUACCAAUAAUUGUGUGGAAUGCAGCAAACAUGGAGAGAGAGAGCCCAGCAGACGUGGAAGUGGGUGAAAUAACCCAACAGCUUUAACAGUGCAGAUGGAAAGAAAAUCCUCCAGCAUGGAAAGAAAAUACAUCUCAUCACCGCAACCAUUUUCACUCAAGACAGUCAAUAGACUAGUCGAGGCAGAAUUCGGAUGAUGGUUUAGAUGGAUUCUUCCCUAUUCUACUAGCAGAUACUGGUGGGAUGCUCAGAAUCACAGCCAUCUUGAAUCCUGUAUUUUCCAACUAUGCUGGAAUGAAGGGCAUCCAUGGACCAUAUGAAACACUCCUCACAGCUUCCAUAUGUCUCAGUGCAGUGAACAUCAGGCAUGGCCCUCAGCAGGCAGCCCCUGCCCAAGGCAACAUGUGGAAGUGGAUUCUGGUCUUCAGGGCUUCCAGCAUUCACUUUUGUUCCCCAUCUGUCUCUCUUCUCAUCAUAUGUCCCUCCUUAGGUCCCAGAAGCUAUGAAUGGAUCAUAAAUCAGUGCCCUGGCCACAAAGGAUCCCAGGAACAUGAGAUUCAGACAUUGUCUUCUUCUAUACUGCUUGGUAUUUCAUCACAGAAAGACAGACAAGGUCAGUUAAAGGAAAGAACUGGAGAGGUUAAUUAAAUCAGAUAAGGUCAGGUAAGACCAGAACGCCAGGCAGGCAAGAAAUAUCAAGGGCCAUUUUCACAAGAUGGCACUGAAGGUGAAGAAGGAAGUUCCUGCCCCUCCCAAAGCUGAAGCAAAAGCAAAGGUUUUGAAAGCCAAGAAGGCAGAGAUGAGAGGCAUCCACAGACACAAGUCACCCACCUUCUGGGACCCAAGACCCUGUGGUUCCAGAGGCAGCUCAAAUGUCUUCAGAAGAGCACCCCCAGGGGAAACAAGCUUGACCAUCAUGCCAUCCAUCGUCAGGCUCCCAACUGCCGAGUCCACCAUGAAGACAGAAGACAACCACAUGCCUGUGUUCACUGUGGAUGCCAAAGCCAACAAGUGCCAGAUCAAACAGGCUGUGAAGAAACUCUGUGACACUGAUGUGGCCAGUGUCAA